UCGGGUGAGAUUAUCAAUAAUCUAUGGUGCAAACACCAGAUAACGAUAUUCUACGAAUUUUAGAUACAUUUUGUAACCUAAUCAGCCAAAGACGGUCGAAAGAAGCGUUAAGUUUCAUACCAACCGUUGAAGUGUACACACCUAGUUUGUGAACGUGAAUGAGCAAUUGCUAUUCAAGUGUAACUAAGGACUGAAUUCUUGAAAUGAUUGUCAAUUUCUCACAUGUGAGAAUAAAACUGUUGUUCUGUGUAAACAUGGAAAAACAAUGCGUGGUAUGAAUGAUUGACGAAUGAGCCAGAAUUGAUCUGUGAAGAGUGAGUUCUUAUUUGUGAGUGAACUUUACUGAGGUUUUUGAUUCGAUAACGUUGAUAGAACCAUCCCAAACAGUGCUGUCAUAAAGUACAAAACAAUCCAAUGGAAACAUCUGUACAACUGGUUCUACAAAAUUUCAACAAGUCAGCUUUCAUCACGUUUUUUUGAGGACCAAGGUCUCGCGGAAAUUUUACCGAGGCUAACAUUUUGAUAGUUUUAGGAAGCUACUCAUCUUUAUCAAAGCAACGAAAUAUGGCCCCUACCAAUAACAAAAGAUCCCCCUUACAAGGCGCCGUUUACCACAUUCGAUUGACGAUGAUCAUUCUUUUCCGGGCAUUCGCAUUGCACCGCCAAGGAAAGUUGCCCCAAUUUGAGUUAAAGAUGGAGGUUCCAGAUACAGGAAAGUUCGACGACCUGGUGUUUCGCUACUCAUCGCCAUCGAUAUCGGAAGGUACUGUCUACAUACAAGCUAAACAUAAAUAUCCAUCCGAAAAGCCAACGAAAUCGAAAAAAAUCCAUCCAAACCAUCCGUACACACCAACGCGAAAAGAGCGACCAGCCAUUACGGAAGGAACGCUGCUCACGAAAUGGAACUCCAAUGGGCCAUUUUCAAUCGCUAAGUACUUCAUUUCGUAUCUGGAAGGAUAUGAAAGAUUGAGCACAGGUUCGCAUACAUACUUGCUGUGCACAAAUGCAACGAUUGACAACAAAUUGAAACAAAAAUUAACAUUACGGCCACAGGACAGCAGCGAGAUACUUUCCUUUUGCGACGCUAUAGGA
This is a long non-coding RNA of Anopheles arabiensis, 1092 nucleotides long. RefSeq lists it as uncharacterized. NCBI's taxonomy places the organism in Eukaryota, Metazoa, Arthropoda, Insecta, Diptera, Culicidae. The transcript is spliced from 3 exons. The record is from RefSeq and is a predicted model, not a curated record.